GACAGAGGGUGCAAACGUUGUUCGGAAUUACUGGGCGUAAAGCGCGUGUAGGCGGCCCUGUAAGUCGGGUGUGAAAUCCCACGGCUCAACCGUGGAAGUGCACUCGAAACUACAGGGCUAGAGUCCUGGAGAGGAAGGUGGAAUGCUUGGUGUAGAGGUGAAAUUCGUAGAUAUCAAGCGGAACACCGGUGGCGAAGGCGGCCUUCUGGACAGUCGACUGACGCUGAGACGCGAAAGCGUGGGGAG
This 246-nucleotide ribosomal RNA is filed under the name uncultured bacterium. Its description in RNAcentral is "partial 16S ribosomal RNA". It matches the Rfam family "Bacterial small subunit ribosomal RNA", at positions 524 to 768 of the family's 1533-position model. The record is from RNAcentral.